CUCUCAACACUUCUAUUUCAUUGAUGGUAGUAGUAAGUUGGGAACUAAUUACUAACAGCUCAAGAGAUUCAAUUUUCUUAUAAGUUAGCAAAUGGGGAGAAUUUAGGCUGAAGGAUUCUUUAGGUCACACAUGUGACCCGGUUCGAAUUGUAAUGAGCUACUUGGGUUCUCUUUCUUCCCUUAGCAUCAGGUGGAUAUAGAGACCAACAAGGCACUUCUAAAGAACACUAAUGGCAAAACGUCUUCAAAGAAAACUGUUAAGCUUUCGUUUUCAGCUGUAUUGGUUUAUUAGGUCUAUUGUCUGGAAUGGGCAUCCGCAUUGCACUCUUGAUGUUUGAAUACAGGCUUUAUUUGACAGCAAUGCCAAUCCCGAGGCAGAUAUCUAUUUUCGAGUGCUUAUGGGUCAGAGGAGACUACCACCACCACCUCGAGUAUGAGACUCCUUCAAUAACAUGGAAGCCGCGGAGUAACAUGCAUUUGUUCAACCGAGACUGCUUCAACAGGCAUGCUAAAUAGCUCUGGCCUCCAAGGGCGUAGUCUAUGGUUGCGACAACGACCUUCAACAAUUAACAUAGACUAUGGUUGCAACAACGACCUUCAACAAUUUAUCAAAAUAUAGACACGGAAGAAUCCACCCUCUAAACCCAUAAUACAACACUCCUUGGAAAAUACUUAUUUUGGCCUAUUCCGAAAUUCUACGAUACGUGCAGCAUAUCCUUGCAGAGUUGCAGUGACCCUUGAGAACCAAAAUUUUUCCGAAGCAAAGAAUAAGGACUUUAUUUCUAAGCUUAGCCAAAGCAUAUUGAGCUUAUUACUCUAAAAUCCCAAAACAUACUACAAGCUAUUACCGCUGAAGGCAUUAUAAAAUCUAAAUAACAUAUGCUAAAUCUUCUCAUAGUACAAAUAGCACAUCCACUUCAAGCCAGCUACAGUGUGAGAUUCCUUUCUUAACACUUGACUUCUUUGAGCCCAUUUGCACUUCCUUGUAGUAUGCAAAUACCAGGUUGCCAUCAUCAUGCAUGCUCUCUCCCACUAAGUAACAAUACAAGCUCGACAUAGUCAGAAUAGGUGUCAACUUGGAAAUUGAAUAUUAAAUCAUGAGAAUUUUCAAAAAACCUCCAGUUAGACUUCGCUUUUCUUUUCUUAUUUAGUUAUUUUGAGAAGUAUAAAGAUAAAGAUACAAUCGGAGGUCACUAAGCUUUGAAAGCAGGAACUUGGUAGCUCCUUAAAUGUGCUUGUUGAACAACUCUUGCUUCUCUGGCUCCAAUUUGGGUGUCAGCAAUUUGAUGUACCUCUUCAUGUAGGUAACAAACUGCUUUUUGUCAAAAGCAGGAUGCUCCUGA
RNAcentral lists this unclassified non-coding RNA (1343 nucleotides) under Hevea brasiliensis (rubber tree). The record is from RNAcentral. Lineage: Eukaryota; Viridiplantae; Streptophyta; Magnoliopsida; Malpighiales; Euphorbiaceae.